GCGAGGAUGGAGGGUGUGACACGCUCUCCCAUGUGCUUAUGUUCCUGACGAAUAAGUAGCCCAUGUGAAGUGUUUUAUCAACCUUUAUGAGCACUACUGAAACCAUUAGAUUGGAUAAAUGUGUCGUAUUAAUGGUGACAAAAUUUCCUGUCUUCUGUAAAUUUAAUCUUUAUCUUGAGAGUACUUUAUACCGUCGGCCAUUAUUGCAUACUCUCGAUCCCGCUCAGAAUACUCUCCAAUCCAAGCAAGUAAAUAAAAGCACGUGUGCUAAUUUUGAAUUGUCAGAGGUACAGUACUGUGAUUCGUUUGUUUUAUUUAUUCUUAGUGUGUCCAAGCUGUGGAAAUUUUUCUGUUAAAUGUUGGAAUUUUUGUAAUUUUUUUGUUCAGCUUAAUAUUAUAUGAAAAAAAAAAAAAAAAUUCUAAUUCGACUUAAGCAGUGUGAUUUUAAACAAUUAUGGCUUCCAGUUCAACUAUUCAAAGAGUAAUUCCUCUGUCCCACAGUACACCCAACAAUGAUUUUAAAUGUACUGCCAAUAUUAUGGAACCUGAUGAUGAUGUUGAACUUGAAAAUGAUGUACAAAAAUCAGCUAAAUUUCGUUUUAACCGUGGGCACGCGCUGUUGCGAAGGCAAUAUCAUAAACAUAUUCUCAUACAGCAUCCAAAAACAUUUGGUAAAAGAAGAUUCACUUUUUCUGGAUAUCAGGAUCAUAAAUCGAAUACCAAGAAACGUCGGAGGUUCACUAGUGUUGCCCUUCCGACUAAGUUUUUGCUUGGAGGUGAUAUAACAGAUCCUUUAAAUUUGCGGAGUUUAGAAGAUGAAAAAAUAAAUCAGCAAUUGAACGCAUUUACUCCUGCGUCAUCUCCAAUACCUAUAUCACGAUAUCGUACUCAAGUGAAACUUCUCAUCCCUCCAAAUAUAUAUGAUCCUCUGAAUUUAAAUACUGGAGAAGAAAUAGAGUUCAAUUUACUUUCUUCUAAACCCCGUAAAAGAAGACGCCAUCGUAAAGGUAGACGAGAUGAUAAUGAAAAUGUUUUGGAUACAAAGGAGGUACCUCCAGCAAAAGAAGAGUCUGAAAAUGAGUCACCUACUCAAACAAGAAGUUCUCUGUGUCUUCCUCUUGAAGAAAAUCAUGAGAAAGAACGUAAGGCAGAUUCUAGUGCUGCGAGUACUUCAUCUGAGGAGAAAGUUGUCUCUGAUAAAAUUGUUUCUCCAGUUGUUCCACAAGGAUCACCUGCCAAAUUUUAUAAAAGGUUUCGUUCUCGUAGUUUUUCUAAGGAUGCUGAGGAAAAGACAUCUGCAUUAAAACAAGUUAUGAAACGUAGGCGAUCAAGAACAAGGCUGCAGCAGAAAGUUGACACUUUAAAAUUUAGAGCAAAUGCUCAAAAAUUUUGCUAUGGCAACCAUAUAAUCAAUCAUUCUAACUGGUAUUUUGGAAAUAGUGAUGAAGAUCACAGGCUUAGAUUUUUUGAUAAAAAUUUAUUUGAAGGUAAAGAUGUCUUAGAUAUUGGGUGUAAUACAGGUCAAUUGACUUUAUACAUUGCUGAAAACUUGCAGCCAAGAAAAAUUAUUGGUAUUGAUAUAGAUAAAAAACUUAUAAACAUAGCUCAAAGGAAGGUUCGCAAACACUUAAGUCAAAAUAUUACUGAAGAUAAUGAUUUUCCAGAGUCUCUGGCAUCUAUGUAUGGCCCAUUAAUAAAAUUGGCCAUGAGCACUUCAAAUUCUUCAGACUUUCCAGAUAAUAUAUCAUUUCUUGAGGCUAAUUAUGUUCCUGCCUGUGAAGAGUACCUUGAAACUCAAAAACCAGAAUUUGAUACAAUCCUCUGCCUAAGAGCUACAAAAUGGAUUCAUCUUAAUUUUGGAGAUGAGGGAUUAAAGUUGGCUUUUAAAAGAAUGUUUGCCCAAUUGCGUGUUGGUGGUCAUCUGAUUUUAGAACCUCAGCCUUGGUUUACAUAUUCAGCAAGCAAGAGAAUAACUCUAUUUAUAAGAUGUAUUGCAGUUUAGAAAUAAAACCAGACUCAUUCUGUGAAUAUUUGCUAUCUGAUGAAGUUGGUUUCAGUAGAUGUGAACUCAUUGGGAGGACUUUUAAUUGCACUAAAGUUUAUCGGCAACCAAUAUACCUCUUCACAAAAGAAUUUGUAACUUCUCAAGAACAAAGCAUGCAGAUGAAUAUAGUGUCACCCAUUCCAUUUGACUGGGAUCGUAAUUCAGAUGAACAGGGCGCCUGUUCUAACUGGG
This 2236-nucleotide unclassified non-coding RNA is filed under the name Stegodyphus dumicola. RNAcentral describes it as "7SK snRNA methylphosphate capping enzyme-like, transcript variant X1". Lineage: Eukaryota; Metazoa; Arthropoda; Arachnida; Araneae; Eresidae. The record is from RNAcentral.